GUUUUCCCAGCCAGACUUGAAAACCGGCGAAGGGGUAACCCUUCCGUGAGUUCGAAUCUCACCGCCUCCGCCA
This 73-nucleotide transfer RNA is filed under the name Pandoraea oxalativorans. RNAcentral describes it as "tRNA-Und (NNN) (tRNA-Und-NNN-1-1)". The record is from RNAcentral. Lineage: Bacteria; Pseudomonadati; Pseudomonadota; Betaproteobacteria; Burkholderiales; Burkholderiaceae. RNAcentral also lists the same sequence under 1 other name.